This 760-nucleotide long non-coding RNA is filed under the name Monodelphis domestica (gray short-tailed opossum). RNAcentral's name for it is "lncRNA (ENSMODG00000031743.2)". The record is from RNAcentral. Lineage: Eukaryota; Metazoa; Chordata; Mammalia; Didelphimorphia; Didelphidae.
GGCUUGUCUCUGACCUGUUCUGCCUAUCCUCAUCCUCAUACUGACUUCUUGCCCAAUUUCAUCAACAUCUUCUCUGAGCCACAUUGAAUGCCAAGGAAGAUGGCCAAGCACAGUCAGGCUUAGCAGAGAAGCGGGGUCACUGCAGCACAGCCCCAUCUGUGCACACACAUGCGGUAAUCGGAUGCUUCAGCAGCUGUUACAUGAAGGCCUGGCAAGAAAAACACACAGUCAGGAAAUGCUGGGGAGAGUCUUCAAGCCAUGGGCUGCUGCUGAAGAAUGCUGGGAAAGAGACAAAGGAUCAGAGAGUCCCACCCUGAUCAGAGAGGCAGGCAGCUGUCUUCAGUAAGUAAUCCAAGUCCAGUAGCAAGACAGAAGUUAAGAUGCCUGGUGAUGGCUGGAGAUACAUUGUAGAACCUGGCAUCUUCAAUGUCUGACCAAGCUUUAAGCACUCUACAGCCUGCUUCAGACACUUUGAUGAUUAUCAGAACAAGCUGUUCUCAUCCCACCUUCCCCAGAGGAAAAUCUUCACCUUUGGGUUAGUAUCCCUGCUACCUCACCAAUGGGUUUGAGGUGUGUCACUUACCUUCAGUGAUUUUACUCAGAUGUGUCCAGUAAGCACACUAAAACUUCUUGGAGUCACAGGUGAGAGUUAGCUGAUAAAAGUAGAUGAGAGCCAGAGGUUCUAGUUCUUCCUGACUACCCCAUUUAUUCCAUUAGCUAUCAGGUUAGCUAGAAUCAAUCUAGGAACUCUACAAAGAGC